Molecule: ribosomal RNA, 253 nt
Filed under: uncultured bacterium
Lineage: Bacteria
Description: partial 16S ribosomal RNA
Rfam family: Bacterial small subunit ribosomal RNA
Source: RNAcentral
UACGGAGGGUGCGAGCGUUGUCCGGAAUCACUGGGCGUAAAGGGCGCGUAGGCGGCUUGGGAAGUCCGUGGUGAAAGCUCGUGGCUCAACUACGAGUCGGCCAUGGAUACUCCUAAGCUCGAGUCGACUAGAGGCAGAUGGAAUUCCGGGUGUAGCGGUGGAAUGCGUAGAGAUCCGGAAGAACACCGGUGGCGAAGGCGGUCUGCUGGGGUCGAACUGACGCUGAGGCGCGACAGCGUGGGGAGCGAACAGG